UGGGGAAUUUUGGACAAUGGGCGCAAGCCUGAUCCAGCCAUGCCGCGUGCAGGAUGAAGGCCCUCGGGUUGUAAACUGCUUUUGUACGGAACGAAAAGCCUCUUUCUAAUAAAGAGGGGUGAUGACGGUACCGUAAGAAUAAGCACCGGCUAACUACGUGCCAGCAGCCGCGGUAAUACGUAGGGUGCGAGCGUUAAUCGGAAUUACUGGGCGUAAAGCGUGCGCAGGUGGUUGUUUAAGUCUGAUGUGAAAGCCCUGGGCUCAACCUGGGAAUGGCAUUGGAAACUGGGCAGCUAGAGUGCGGUAGAGGGUAGUGGAAUUCCCGGUGUAGCAGUGAAAUGCGUAGAGAGCGGGAGGAACAUCUGUGGCGAAGGCGACUGCCUGGACCAGCACUGAUACUGAGGCACGAAAGCGUGGGGAGCAAACA
Molecule: ribosomal RNA, 427 nt
Filed under: uncultured bacterium
Lineage: Bacteria
Description: bacterial SSU rRNA
Rfam family: Bacterial small subunit ribosomal RNA
Source: RNAcentral